CAGCGGAAUGGAAAACUGUGAAGAUGAUAUGUUGCACGCGAAGUGUUCGAUGGAAUGUGUGAGUGUGUUUGGGUGAUUUUGGAAGUAGAGUUUUCUAGCUCAGAGGGCUUUCCUAGGGGGAAAGAAGCUAGAGGAUGCAAAGCUAAAGCUAGCAAAGUUUGAACUUGAAGAAGAACGGCCGAAAUUCAGCAGCAUCUCAUUACUAUCAUUCAAGUUAAUUUGUACAAUGAGUAAGCUUCCUUUUAUAGGAGAAGGAAAGCUCAUCAAUCUUGCAAGGUAAGCUAGCCAAUGUACAUGUGUUGAAAUAU
This 308-nucleotide long non-coding RNA is filed under the name Vigna radiata. RNAcentral's name for it is "long non-coding RNA (VRAD_LNC015582)". The record is from RNAcentral. Lineage: Eukaryota; Viridiplantae; Streptophyta; Magnoliopsida; Fabales; Fabaceae.